UUGAGCGCUGGCGGCAUGCCUUACACAUGCAAGUCGAACGGUAGAGGGGCAACCCUUGAGAGUGGCGAACGGGUGAGUAAUAUAUCGGAACGUGCCCAGUCGUGGGGGAUAACGCAGCGAAAGCUGCGCUAAUACCGCAUACGAUCUAUGGAUGAAAGCGGGGGAUCGCAAGACCUCGCGCGAUUGGAGCGGCCGAUAUCAGAUUAGGUAGUUGGUGGGGUAAAAGCCC
This 229-nucleotide ribosomal RNA is filed under the name uncultured bacterium. RNAcentral's name for it is "partial 16S ribosomal RNA". It matches the Rfam family "Bacterial small subunit ribosomal RNA", at positions 30 to 266 of the family's 1533-position model. The record is from RNAcentral.